GUGCUUGCUUUGGCAGCACAUAUACUAAAACUGGAACAAUAUAGAGAAGAUAGCAUGGCCCAUGCACAAGGAUGACACGCAAAUUUAUGAAGCAUUCCAUAUUUAU
Microcebus murinus (gray mouse lemur) is the source of this 106-nucleotide small nuclear RNA. NCBI's taxonomy places the organism in Eukaryota, Metazoa, Chordata, Mammalia, Primates, Cheirogaleidae. The record is from Ensembl.